Long non-coding RNA from Dromaius novaehollandiae (emu), 2142 nucleotides. RefSeq lists it as uncharacterized. The record is from RefSeq and is a predicted model, not a curated record. NCBI's taxonomy places the organism in Eukaryota, Metazoa, Chordata, Aves, Casuariiformes, Dromaiidae. The transcript is spliced from 5 exons.
AGGGGCGGGGCGGGGCGGGCCGCAAGGCAUUAGAAGGCGGCCGCGGCAGAGUACAGCUCCUGCUGGGAGGCAGCGGCGCGUCGCCGGACCGGACCGGACCGGACCGGCAGGGCAGCGAGCUCCGCCUCGAAAUUAAAAUGUCAUCAUGGGUCAAGGUCACCAGGUGUCAAGUUCAAAAACCUGUUGCCAACAAAAGCUGCUUCCAGAAGAGCCUGUUCUGAAAUAGCACUGCUGAUCCCUUCUGUGUUAGUAUAAAUCCUUACAGAAGAGUCAUUUUUCCCAAGGUGAUUAUUUAGAGACUUUGAAGAUCUGAAUAGAUGAUGACCACACCAGGGGUGACUGCAGAGAGAAGCAAUACCUGCAGUUUUACCAACAGAUAUGGAAAGAAUAUGAUGGAGACCUGUGUCAUUGUUGUGUAGGUUUCUGUUAAGAUCUUUCAGCUAAUUUUAUUAUGUGGGUAAGUGUUACCCACUUCAGAAAGGUCUGAUCUUGAUGUAUGUAGUGUUUGAAAAUUACAUCUAUUAAUGUUUCUGACCCUCCUUGAUAUUGUUCUAGCUAGUUAUAAAACUUGGGCAUCUCCCAGGUCUUUGGACUAUUAGGUCCAUGAGGGGACCUCUCUAGGUUCUUCAAAAAAAUAAAUACAUUUAGUGACUCAGGAAUUAAGUCUGAUUGUUAUUUCAGAUUUUUGUCUAAUCUGAUUGUAAUUUCUUAUGUUUUAGAGGCUACUUUGCAGGAUUUGGUUAGGUUUUGUGGUCUCUUAAAUUAGGCAUAUUAAAUGUAGCUUCAGAUUUUUGCCUGUGAUGUCUGCAAUUUUUGAUGCAUAUCAGGUACCUUUCUAAUUGGAAAAGAUGCCUUUCACUGCUGCCAAGAGAGUCAAAAAGUGAAGUUGGCUACAUAAAGACUCUCAAAUGCAUGGAAUUUUACGUUUUUCUCUAGUCUAUAGUUCUUAGUACUUGAAGCAAAACUGGAAGAAUUCUUUGAAAAAUGACUUUUUUAGUUUAACAUUCUGUUAAAUUAGAGACAAAUUUCUAUCACAGGUGACUUAUUUUUCCUUAUUUAUCAACUGAAAUAUUUGAGGGGCUGCAUCAUGCUACUUUUUAAUUCCUAUUUCAAACUAUUACUGUGACUUUUCUAAGGAAAUAAAGUUUUCUAGUAAAAUAAAAAAGGACUGAAACUUCAAGAAAUAAAUUCCUAACAAGGUAAGAUAAUGAAGUGGAAGAAAGGCAAGAUUGCUUGCUUCUCUCUUUUAAUCCUGGAAGAGUUGGUUUUCAUUGUAUAGCUGUCUGUUGUCUGGAGAUGAGAUGGGUUGACUUCAAUAUGGAGAUAUUGACCGAUAUGCAAAGUUGGUUUUUUGGUUUCCUAAGAGGGCUAUUUAGAGGACUGGAAGUCUUACUCUACCUCUGGUAUUUCCUUAAAAUUCACUAUUGUUUCUUUGAUAUUCUAACUUUCAUUUCUCUUCUCCCCAGCAUAGUAUUUUAUGCUUUGUAUUCCAUAUCAAGUUUGUUACUGGUAUUACCUUCCUAUGUAUUUAACCCAUUUGAAACAUGUAGGCAAUACAGGCCAUAUAUUUUGCAUUUGCUUAUCUUCUAAUAACAGAAUCAGUUUACCUUUCAAGUUGUGCUGAGACAAUCAUUCUUUUGUGUUGGAUCCUGGAUCUGUAAAUAAAGUAUUUGAUGCCUUUCUUCCUCCCUGACCUCUGCAUCUGACAUAGCCCUGUCUGAUACCCAGAUCAGGUUGGGAAAACAUGAGAGGCUGUCCAUCUCUUGUUCAUGGACUGAUGCAGAAGCAUAGUGGUAGGUGGUCUCCUCAAAUAUGAGUUGGAAAUUCUCUGCCAGUAUCAUGAGCUAGUGCUCUAUGAAAUGUUUGUUCAGUAGUAAAGUUGAAGUUCAGACAGGAAAAACUACAGUUGCUGCAGCUGGGUUGGCUAAUUCACCUGAAGUGUAAUGGUCAGGUGUGUGUGUUGGAGCAGGUUGUAAAUUGACUUCUAAUGUUUUGAAACAAUUAAUAAAGUUGGAACAUUAAUUUCUAUUUCACUUGCUUUAACCUUAAAUAUGUUGCUUUUAUGUCCAAUUUAAACACUUUUUGAACUGUUAAAGUAUGCUAAAUACAAUGUAGAAAAAAUAAACAAUAUUUCUACCUCAA